UGUGGGAGUUGACAAGGAACAUCACUAGAGAAAUAUGAACAUGAAUGUGUCCCCUUAAUCAUAAUAGAGCAAAAAUCACAGACAUAUAAUCUCAUAAAUUUUAUUUAUUUUAAAAUAUUAAUUUCAAAAACAAAAAAAUCACAUACUUUAUAAUUUAUACAACGAAAAUUAUUCAAUCCAAGACACCAAACGUAGCAUCAGAAAGUGGUCUUAUUUAUGCUUUCUUAUUUUGGAUUUAGGGAUUUGGUGUGAAAAGAGGGUAGGAAUGGUAGUACUUUUGACUAGAAGUCUAGAACACUAGAGAAGUAUGGGGCAUCCCCACACUCAUCUUUAAGCUGGACCCUACAAUUUCCAGACCACUUGGAGAUAGAUUAGGACCUCUGCCAGCAAGAGCUUCUCUCCAAGCGUGCUAGGUCCAGUCGCUCCUGCUGCAAACUGGCUUCACAGUGUCUUCAAACUCUUUCUUAAAGUAGUAGGCUGAGGAAAUAAAAAGAAUUAUAACUUAAUCAUGAUUAAGUAAUUAUGAUCACUUGAUUAUGUGGAGUCCAACCGAUUAAUAUUUGACAUUAAUUGGCUAACAGAA
Molecule: long non-coding RNA, 583 nt
Filed under: Malus domestica (apple)
Lineage: Eukaryota; Viridiplantae; Streptophyta; Magnoliopsida; Rosales; Rosaceae
Description: long non-coding RNA (MDOM_LNC014997)
Source: RNAcentral